Long non-coding RNA from Malus domestica (apple), 848 nucleotides. RefSeq lists it as uncharacterized. NCBI's taxonomy places the organism in Eukaryota, Viridiplantae, Streptophyta, Magnoliopsida, Rosales, Rosaceae. The record is from RefSeq and is a predicted model, not a curated record.
CCAAAAAUUAUUUUAAAAAUAUGGGGAUGAUCCUGAGGUUGUGUAGGUCACUGUGGUAUAUUCAUAUACCCAAUUUGAGCAUCGUAUGAAGAAUUUAUUACCUAGUUGGUUUAGGUGCGUUAAAUGUGCGUUAAAUGAUUGUUUUAAGUUAUUUCACUUCUAGGUGGAACUUAUAACGAGGACGAGCACAUCCAGGGGCGUCAAGGGGGUUACGACCCGGCGACAUACCAGUUCUAGUUGAUAGUUGAGGCGUUGGUGGCCUACGAGGACUGCUUCGGCGUUCUGACAGACUAAAUAAAUAAUUAUGCCGCCUCGUAGAGAUCCUCGCCGUGCUGCUGAGCCUAAUUUCCCCGAUAUAACUCAGUUAGGGGCAGCAAUGGCUCAAGCUUUUCAGGCUAAUAUCCGUCCUCCUCAGAGAACGCCCGUAGAGACGAUGUAUAAUCUGAAACUGGAAACUUUUGAGGGAAAUGAAGGUUAUGAAGGGGCAGAAAAGUGGUUGGAUCGAAUUGAGCAGACCUUUCAAGUGAUGCAAAGUCAGGGAAACCUGCCAGCUAAUAGAUGGGUGGAGACCACCACCUGGUUUUUGGGCCGUGAGCCAGCUGCGUGGUGGAUAAAUCAGUCGAGGCACAUGGCACCUGAAAGGGCAGCCGAAUGAGAGGUAUUUAAGGAAAAUUUUAUGAAGAGAUUUGUUCCUCCGGAAUAUAUAGAUCGCAAGAAACAGGAAUUCACCAGUCUGAAGCAGAGGAAUAUGUCUGCACAUGAGUACUACAGGAAGUUUACUGAUUUAUCCCGUUAUGAUUCUGAUUUAGCGGGUAAUCAAGCAGAAAUGCUUCGUCGUUUCAAGCUAG